This 253-nucleotide ribosomal RNA is filed under the name uncultured Rikenellaceae bacterium. Its description in RNAcentral is "partial 16S ribosomal RNA". It matches the Rfam family "Bacterial small subunit ribosomal RNA", at positions 524 to 776 of the family's 1533-position model. The record is from RNAcentral. Lineage: Bacteria; Pseudomonadati; Bacteroidota; Bacteroidia; Bacteroidales; Rikenellaceae.
UACGGAGGAUCCAAGCGUUAUCCGGAUUUAUUGGGUUUAAAGGGUGCGUAGGCGGUUUUAUAAGUUAGAGGUGAAAAUUCGGGGCUCAACUCCGGACGUGCCUCUAAUACUGUAUGACUAGAGAAUAGAUGCGGUAGGCGGAAUGUAUGGUGUAGCGGUGAAAUGCGUAGAGAUCAUACAGAACACCGAUUGCGAAGGCAGCGUGCCGUGCCGCCACUGACGCUGAGGCACGAAAGCGCGGGGAUCGAACAGG